GUUUUUAUGUACAAUACAUACUUAAAAUAGAUGAAGGAGGACAUAGGAAUUUUAUAUGUAGGUAUAUUUUAUACGCUUCAUGGCACAAAGGUACAACUUCACUAGAAAGACACUGGAUUCACCACUAACCUCUGCAUGGCUAUAGGUAUCUUGACAUUCUUGCUGCCACCAGGUCCUUGCUGGUCUUGGAUAACAGCUACCACCUUGAACAAAUUCAGAUCCUCCACCGUGUUCCUCUGCCCCUCAAGAGAAGGCUAAAUCCGCAGACAUCCAAAUGUCAAGAAAGCCAAGAAGGGUUACCAAAUGUUUAGUACAUUUAGAGGUCAUCGCAAGGUUUAGACUGUGUGACUGAUGUUGAAAAGAAAGAUUCAUGCACUCAAAAGGAUCGAGUUGAAACCAGCAGGGAGAAUUAUCUAGCAAAUAACUGUGCACUGAAAGGACAAGAAGGAAAUGAACAAAAUAGAAAAAGAAAAGUUUUCUAAGCUCUGUUUUCUUAAAAGCUUCCUUGCCAUGUAGGAGAUGACUAUGGACUGAACCAUGAGAGACACUCUAGGAUUCACAGCCCCUUUGUCUUUUGUUCUACAUCAUGCUAAAGAAUCAGGAAUGCCAUAUUUGCAAUGUCUUCACUUGACAUCUUCUCUCUGCAUGCACUCCUGUAGCACAGCCACUGCCAGGAGCAGCCAGCAUUGUCCAGAGCCAACUCUUUUCAGAGUCACGUGAUGCAUCUCCUCUUUACAAACAAUUUACAUUUGUUAUUAUUUUUUUUUUAUUUUAAAAAAGCACACACUGCACACUAUGCAGACAGAUGGCAAUUAAGCCAGUGGGUGCAGAUCAGGGCAAAAAGUAAUUAAUGGUAGAAAGCACUCGCAAACCAGAUUCAAUAUUUUCCCUAAAGAAGGAAGGGAAAUAUUGCAAAGAAAACACAUAUAAUCCAUUAUUCAAAUACAAAUUAUGACUACUUAAUUACCCUAAUAUGAAUAAUUGUUCAAAGAGGUACAAAUACUGUAGUAUUUAAGCACAUUUUCUGCCUUGGCACAGGUGGCUUCUGGAAAUAAAUCAAGUAAUGAAAUGUUCCAAGUUCUGCUGCCAUUCUGAUGGUUUCAUUCUUUCAUUUUGUCCUCCCCCUUAAUAUAUGCUUCAAGAAACAAAACUAAAAAGCCCACCACCUUAAUCCAGCAAUUUUGUGCUAGCACAGAUCUAAAAAACAAACUCAUUGGCUCAUAAGUAAAUCAUUUCACUUAACUCUGUGAAAUAAACUGUUGAGUUUCUCUCGUCAUCUUUGGAAAAUAACACGAGGGCUGCUCCAACAGUAUUUUUCCAUGGAAAAACAAAAACAAAACAAAACAAAAAAACACAUUUCCCCUACUUUCAAAAAACAGAGGAAGGCAGUUGGUGGAAACUAUUUUUUGUUGGUUAUACAUGGGCAGAUCCAACAGAAGUCAAAAAGACUCCUAAGUAUUGCAAUCUACCAUCAUCUUACAGAGCAACUUUUGGGAUGAGAACAAACAAUUUGAAAGACAGAUGGCAGAAGUUUAGCAGCAUCAGCAGAGAUACAGCUAAUCAGAGGCAUAUAUCUUAUCACUGACAUAACAAACUAUCAGACUGUGAACCUUGUCACAAAUAAAUCAGCAUGGCCAAUACAUUUCCAGACCUGAGGUAGGAUGAGACUGUUCCAGAAGAUCACCACCACUUCCGAGAAGGGAAACACAGAAUCCAGGUCCAGACCAUUACUUGGAAAACAAGCUAUAGGCCUCAUUAAACCAUUCAAAUUUCUUCAGAUUGCCAAAUUCAACUUGAACUUUUACAAAGAAUGACUCUCCAAUGCCCUUGCCACGAGGGACCAUCUUCUUUAAUGCUGAAAUAGGGUGUUGAAGACUGGGCCAUAAAAGCUGAGACAGGGUUAGAUAGGCCAGUCUGGCACGAAAAACUACAAGAUUUCCUUUUAUUCUCUGCCAGAAACAACAGAAUCUGAGGACCAAUGCAAUUACAAACAUCACAAGAAACAGCAUUUCCAGAAGGAAAAUAGACCUAUUUCUCAUUAAAAGCUAACACGUACAAAGUAAGUAUUGCAGUAUUAUUUCCUUUAACAUCACCAAACACUACAGAUCUCUGCUUGAAAAUGGUGCUUUUAAGUUUUUUUCCUUGGUCCUACAGGACUUCCAGACAUACUGAUAAACAAAAGCAGACUGACUACUCUGGCAUCUUGGCAUGCAGUCAUUUAAUACAGAGACACUUCCUAACUUGUGCAAAAUUGAAACAUUUGUUUGAGAAUAAUUAGUGCCUUAGCCCAAAAAUGUUUGGCAGACUUUUCUAAUUAGUUGAGAAAAAUGAUUGAGGCAGGCAGGCAAGCAAGCAGAUUUUUCCAGGCAUUCUGUGAAAAUAAUUUGGACCACACACUUGGCUGCAGAGCCAGAUAACGUAUGUCAUUCUUUGCUAUCUUAACAGGUAGGAUAAAAGGAAAAACAACAACAACAAAAAUAACAACAACAACAAAAAACCCACCACCACCAAAACAUAAGAACAAGAGCCAGCCAUCUGGCAUAUGAAAUCUGAAUUGAAAGGACUUUUCACUUCUGCUAAUGUAGCUCUUCUGUUCUCUGAAGCACAAUGAUCAAGUCACACUGUGUUAGGCCCCAGCAAAUUACUUAUUUUCCUUUGUAUUUCCUAUUGUACUGUAAGAACCAGAGCUGAAAAUAUUCAUUGUGAGUCACAGGCUGUGCGGGCCCCAGAACAAUAUUUGCAGAGUAUUCACGCUGGGAUAGCCAACUGUGUUUUCCUUCUCCAGGGAUGUUUUAGCGUGCAAAGCAUGUUCGAGGCAAACUGGGAUCAGGACAAUAUCAAAUCACCACAUGCUUUAGUAGGCUGUGCAGCUUCCAGACACGUUUCCUUUCUGAGAUCCUUCCAGAAAUCAGUCUGCUAGCAAAUGAAAACUCAAGUUGCCAUGUCACUUAACUAUACCUAAUCAGAUUUCAUGGAAAUAGUUCAAUAUAUGGCAAUGUAACUGCUACUUCAAGCACUUACUACUUCAUAUACUAAUGCAACUAACUCAGGCAUGUAACAUAGUUAAAGCUUUUUGACAUCCGGGCAUAUCAAGAACUUCUCACCUCUGCAUUUUAUAUUAUUUCAGUUUAGGGAGUAAUCGAGGGAAAGAAAGGUUCAGGUUUAAAAAAAAAA
This 3174-nucleotide long non-coding RNA is filed under the name Gallus gallus (chicken). RNAcentral describes it as "lncRNA (ENSGALG00010020430.1)". Lineage: Eukaryota; Metazoa; Chordata; Aves; Galliformes; Phasianidae. The record is from RNAcentral.